CACGUAGGCGGCGCUCUAAGUCAGGUGUGAAAUCCCCCGGCUCAACCGGGGAACUGCACCUGAUACUGGAGCGCUCGAGGACGGUAGGGGUGAGUGGAACUCCAGGUGGAGCGGUGAAAUGCGUAGAUAUCUGGAGGAACACCGGUGGCGAAAGCGGCUCACUGGACCGUCUCUGACGCUGAGGUGCGAAAGCUAGGGUAGUAAACG
This 207-nucleotide ribosomal RNA is filed under the name uncultured bacterium. Its description in RNAcentral is "partial 16S ribosomal RNA". It matches the Rfam family "Bacterial small subunit ribosomal RNA", at positions 568 to 774 of the family's 1533-position model. The record is from RNAcentral.